UCCGGCCCGCCAACCCUGAAUAAAUUGUAUUAUUAAAACGUUUUUUUGGUCAUAUUGCCUGCAAUGACUGCGUUUCCCCAGUAGAUGGGGAAGCGCUCGCCUGCGCAUUUACUACCGGAAGCCGUGUCGGAAAGCUCGGUGCACACUCACAAGUGCGUGUACGUACUCAGUAGUACGGACAUGGCGCACUCGCGCUCUAUUUGUAUCAGCCCCGAAUUUAGAGCGUGGGCUGUGACGACGGCGUUCUUGCAAUUCGCGCGCUGAGCUUUCAGAUACCGUUUUACGCUAAAGCCACCUACAAACCUUCCCCUGGAAUCCAUUAAAAUGAGUGGCCCGAAGAAAAGAAGUGAGUGCCGAAUGUUAAAAAAAGAGUGACCAAUUUGGCUCGACGUUCGCGACGUCCUCACCUCUGUUACCAGAUGUUUGUGAGUUAAAACUCUGCUCUGAUUUUCAGAUACCCCUCACCGUGUUGCAGUUUUGAUUACUUUAUUUGGAAGCACUGAAGUGAUGGAGACUGUUAUUCAUAAUAACAGUGUUGUAUUUUAUGAGAAUCACCGAUAGCAGUUUUUUAGUGAUUUUUUUUUAAUGCUGUUAAUAAAUGCAUUUGUUUUCAAAAAA
Molecule: long non-coding RNA, 618 nt
Organism: Syngnathus typhle (broad-nosed pipefish)
Lineage: Eukaryota; Metazoa; Chordata; Actinopteri; Syngnathiformes; Syngnathidae
Exons: 2
Source: RefSeq, a predicted model, not a curated record